This 465-nucleotide ribosomal RNA is filed under the name uncultured bacterium. RNAcentral describes it as "partial 16S ribosomal RNA". It matches the Rfam family "Bacterial small subunit ribosomal RNA", at positions 28 to 507 of the family's 1533-position model. The record is from RNAcentral.
GACGAACGCUGGCGGCGUGCUUAACACAUGCAAGUCGUACGGUAAGGCCCUUUCGGGGGUACACGAGUGGCGAACGGGUGAGUAACACGUGAGUAACCUGCCCACAACUUUGGGAUAACGCUAGGAAACUGGUGCUAAUACUGGAUAUGUGCUCCUGCUGCAUGGUGGGGGUUGGAAAGCUCCGGCGGUUGUGGAUGGACUCGCGGCCUAACAGCUUGUUGGUGGGGUAGUGGCCUAACGAGGCGGCGACGGGUAGCCGGCCUGAGAGGGUGAGCGGCCACAUUGGGACUGAGGUACGGCCCAGACUCCGACGGGAGGCAGCAGGGGGGAAUAUUGCACAAUGGGCGCAAGCCGGAUGCAGCAACGCCGCGGGCGGGAUGACGGCCUUCGGGUUGAAAACCGCUUUCAGCAGGGACGAAGCUUUUUGUGACGGUACCUGCAGAAGAAGCACCGGCUAACUACGUG